RNAcentral lists this unclassified non-coding RNA (2362 nucleotides) under Hevea brasiliensis (rubber tree). Lineage: Eukaryota; Viridiplantae; Streptophyta; Magnoliopsida; Malpighiales; Euphorbiaceae. The record is from RNAcentral.
GCCAUGGUAAACUGUUCCAAAUCCCCCCUUCCCAAUAACAGUGCUAAAGUUGUUGGUCAUUCUUACAAUCUCAGCAUACGUGAAUUGUCUGUUGUGUGACUUCAGUGAUGAUCCUUCUUCCAUCCGGGAAUCGACAAGCAUCCGUGCAACUUUUUUUCUUUUGUAGAUACACAGGAUAAUCAGUGUCAUUGCCAUGAGGAUGACUACCAAUGGAACAAUGGUUGCAACUAUUGGAACGAAAGCACUCUUCCUCUCUUCUUUGCAUGGAGACCACAGACAAAGCUCUGGAUUCCCAACCAGUCUACCAUUAGGGAAAAUGAUUUAGUCUAAGGACAAGAAAAGGAACUUUGGUAUAAGCACAGGAAUGCCAAAGGGAAAAAAGAGUUAAUUCAUGAACCUCAAUGACAAUGAUCCGUUAAUGGAUCUUUCCAAGAGAGCCAAAGGAACCGAACCAGAGAGUUUGUUUCCUGCUAAAUUCCUGCAGUUUUAGUUAAAUGAUAUCAUUUCCCUUCUAAUGGUUGCAGAAUUAUAGGAUGAAGGAAGAAUAACUUACAAAGUCCUCAAAUUUGGUAGUUCUGACAGAAAUUCAGGUACUCCUCCCCUUAAGCUGUUCUCUGAUAAAUCCCUGAAUUAAAUGCAGAAAACAAUAUUAAUUUGAUGUGAAGUUUCACAUAAUUAAUGUUAAGUUGAAGAAACAUGAUUCAGCAUUGAAAAUAAUUUUCUACUUACAGAUGCUGCAGUAAUUUAAGAUUGGACAAUGAUCGAUCGAUCUCUCCUGUUAGUCCACUAGAUGACAAAUUCCUGAAUGAAAUUAAUUACUUAAGCUGCAAAUGGAUUAUUUUUUUUUCAUGGCCAUAACAACUUUUAGUUAAGUCUUCUGUUAUUUCAUUUCAUCUUUUGCUCAAGAACAAGAACUCACAAGGAAAUAAUUCUUGGGGGAUAAUAACCAUUAUCAUUGCAAUUCAAGCCAUCCCAUGAUGGAAGAGGCAUGCAUGGAUCUCCUUGCCAGCCUUUAACGACGUAAUAGAUUGACUUGAUGUCUUCAAUUGCUUUAACAUCUUCUCGAUCGGUUGGUUGCUGCCAGAAAUCUCUCACUAAAUAAAUUUCCAAUGCAUUCAAAAUGGGAGGAAGGGUAGAAUUUGGCAACUUAAAAAGACAGAAGCUAAGCUUGGCUCCUCUUACUGACUGGAUAGGUAAGGUUGUAGAACGCAAGUACUUGAGAACAACACCUUCUUGUAAUAGCACACCAUUUAAUUCAAUGUUGAAUUCUCUAGAUUGGUUCAUUUGCAAAAUUUCAGCAAAGUGCAUGUAAAUGUAGAAAUUUUCGUUGGGAUCGCCAGUAUCAAAUUCGAAUUUGAGUGGUUCAUCUGCAUUUAUUGGCUGGACAGCAGUUUGCAUCACCUUUGAUGGUAGAUUGAAGUCAGUGGUAACAAGGGAAUCAACUGCAGAGGAAGUAUUUAUUGAAGCACAUUGAGGACAGUUGUAAGGAAACCAUAUGCGAUCAUAGGCAUCAUCAUGGUACCUUACUAUCUCGUUGGCUGUAGAGCCAAAAUCGAGUCGCCGGUAUAGAACUAAUGAUACAGAUUCUGCUUUGUAGGUGGAAUUAUGGAAAUGCCUCAACUCUAGAGCUGAUAUGAAAGGGGUUCCAGAACCAGUGUUUAGGAGACAGACAUAUAUGUCAUCAAUUGUAGGGACAUGUAUGAUCUCCUUGCUUACCAUAUGAGAUGCAUUGUCAAACUUCACUUUGUCCCACAAAUUAACUCCAAUAUAUAAUCGGAACUCUGGCAACUUGUCCAGAUCAUCAUAAUUUCCAUACAUGAAGGAGGCUCUAAUCAAGUAGAUACUAGCUUUGCCUUCUGGUGGUCUCAGGGCAUAGCAGUUUCUUUUUCCCUGAGGAAAACUUCUGAGAGUCAUUGCAGACAUUGGAAGCUCAUCAGAAAUGAAGUUGGCAGAAAUGUUCUUAUUCACUCCAGUGUCUAUGAAUGUCCUAUCCGAAAUGUAUUGAAUGUCAGUAGUGGCAUCGGUGUAGCUGAAAUCUUCUGGCAUUCCACAAUCAAUGUUUAUGGAACCAGCUACAUCGUCCAAUUUCCUUCUAGAAUGCUUUUGAAUGAUGAAGUUAGGCUCAGAAUUACUAAAUUUGGAAACACCAGAGGCAAAAACAUUUGAACCUUUGGUUUCUAAGCAAUUAACUAAAAGUUGCAGCAAGAUAAACCCGUUAAUGUAACCCCAAGCCCAUAUGCCUCUGCAUUUCUGGACCAUUUUCUCUCCAGAGAAGAAAGAAAUUAUUUAAGCAGAUGAGUUUGCUAUGGCAGUAAAAGAAAGGCUUGAAAUGAAAUGAUACAAACGUGGAACCAAGAAAAAC